UACGGGGGGGGCAAGCGUUGUUCGGAAUUACUGGGCGUAAAGGGCUCGUAGGCGGCCAACUAAGUCAGACGUGAAAUCCCUCGGCUUAACCGGGGAACUGCAUCUGAUACUGGAUGGCUUGAGAUUGGGAGAGGGAUGCGGAAUUCCAGGUGUAGCGGUGAAAUGCGUAGAUAUCUGGAGGAACACCGGUGGCGAAGGCGGCAUCCUGGACCAAUAUUGACGCUGAGGAGCGAAAGCCAGGGGAGCAAACGGG
This 253-nucleotide ribosomal RNA is filed under the name uncultured bacterium. RNAcentral describes it as "partial 16S ribosomal RNA". It matches the Rfam family "Bacterial small subunit ribosomal RNA", at positions 524 to 776 of the family's 1533-position model. The record is from RNAcentral.